AUUGAACGCUGGCGGCAUGCCUUACACAUGCAAGUCGAACGGCAGCACGGGUGCUUGCCCCUGGUGGCGAGUGGCGAACGGGUGAGUAAUACAUCGGAACAUGUCCUGUAGUGGGGGAUAGCCCGGCGAAAGCCGGAUUAAUACCGCAUACGAUCUACGGAUGAAAGCGGGGGACCUUCGGGCCUCGCGCUAUAGGGUUGGCCGAUGGCUGAUUAGCUAGUUGGUGGGGUAAAGGCCUACCAAGGCGACGAUCAGUAGCUGAUCUGAGAGGACGACCAGCCACACUGGGACUGAGACACGGCCCAGACUCCUACGGGAGGCAGCAGUGGGGAAUUUUGGACAAUGGGCGAAAGCCUGAUCCAGCAAUGCCGCGUGUGUGAAGAAGGCCUUCGGGUUGUAAAGCACUUUUGUCCGGAAAGAAAUCCUUGGCUCUAAUACAGUCGGGGGAUGACGGUACCGGAAGAAUAAGCACCGGCUAACUACGUG
RNAcentral lists this ribosomal RNA (486 nucleotides) under uncultured bacterium. Its description in RNAcentral is "partial 16S ribosomal RNA". It matches the Rfam family "Bacterial small subunit ribosomal RNA", at positions 30 to 507 of the family's 1533-position model. The record is from RNAcentral.